Molecule: ribosomal RNA, 164 nt
Filed under: uncultured bacterium
Lineage: Bacteria
Description: partial 16S rRNA
Rfam family: Bacterial small subunit ribosomal RNA
Source: RNAcentral
UAGGGAAUCUUCCACUAUGGGCGAAAGCCUGAUGGAGCAACGCCGCGUGUGUGAUGAAGGGUUUCGGCUCGUAAAACACUGUUGUAAGAGAAGAAUGACAUUGAGAGUAACUGUUCAAUGUGUGACGGUAUCUUACCAGAAAGGAACGGCUAAAUACGUGCCAG